This 507-nucleotide ribosomal RNA is filed under the name uncultured bacterium. RNAcentral describes it as "bacterial SSU rRNA". It matches the Rfam family "Bacterial small subunit ribosomal RNA", at positions 153 to 655 of the family's 1533-position model. The record is from RNAcentral.
GAAACGGAUGCUAAUACCGCAUACGCCCUACGGGGGAAAGCGGGGGAUCUUCGGACCUCGCGCUAUUGGAUGAGCCUAAGUCGGAUUAGCUUGUUGGUGAGGUAAAAGCUCACCAAGGCGACGAUCCGUAGCUGGUCUGAGAGGACGACCAGCCACACUGGGACUGAGACACGGCCCAGACUCCUACGGGAGGCAGCAGUGGGGAAUAUUGCACAAUGGGCGCAAGCCUGAUGCAGCAAUGCCGCGUGUGUGAAGAAGGCCUGCGGGUUGUAAAGCACUUUCAGUAGAGAAGAAAAGCCUAGGGUUAAUAACCCUGGGUCUUGACGUAACCUACAGAAGAAGCACCGGCUAACUCCGUGCCAGCAGCCGCGGUAAUACGGAGGGUGCGAACGUUAAUCGGAAUUACUGGGCGUAAAGCGCGCGUAGGCGGCUUUGUAAGUCGGAUGUGAAAGCCCUGGGCUCAACCUGGGAAUGGCAUUCGAUACUGCAUGGCUAGAGUAUGGUAGA